This 497-nucleotide ribosomal RNA is filed under the name uncultured bacterium. Its description in RNAcentral is "partial 16S ribosomal RNA". It matches the Rfam family "Bacterial small subunit ribosomal RNA", at positions 28 to 507 of the family's 1533-position model. The record is from RNAcentral.
GAUGAACGCUGGCGGCGUGCCUAAUACAUGCAAGUCGAGCGAACAGAUGAGGAGCUUGCUCCUCUGACGUUAGCGGCGGACGGGUGAGUAACACGUGGAUAACCUACCUAUAAGACUGGGAUAACUUCGGGAAACCGGAGCUAAUACCGGAUAAUAUAUUGAACCGCAUGGUUCAAUAGUGAAAGACGGUUUUGCUGUCACUUAUAGAUGGAUCCGCGCCGCAUUAGCUAGUUGGUAAGGUAACGGCUUACCAAGGCAACGAUGCGUAGCCGACCUGAGAGGGUGAUCGGCCCCACUGGAACUGAGACACGGUCCAGAACCCUAAGGGAGGCAGCAGGAGGGAAUCUUCCGCAAUGGGCGAAAGCCUGACGGAGCCACGCCGCGUUAGUGAUGAAGGUCUUCGGAUCGUAAAACUCUGUUAUUAGGGAAGAAAAAAUGUGUAAGUAAAUAUGCACGUCUUGACGGUACCUAAUCAGAAAGCCACGGCUAACCACGUG